AGUUUAUGAGCUUGUUAAAGCAUGUACCUUGAAAGUACAAGAAAGGGCAAUUCCUAUAAACUU
This 63-nucleotide transfer RNA is filed under the name Trigonopterus ancora. RNAcentral's name for it is "tRNA-Ser". The record is from RNAcentral. Lineage: Eukaryota; Metazoa; Arthropoda; Insecta; Coleoptera; Curculionidae.